CGCGGCCUAUCAGCUUGUUGGUGGGGUAACGGCCUACCAAGGCGACGACGGGUAGCUGGUCUGAGAGGACGAUCAGCCACACUGGGACUGAGACACGGCCCAGACUCCUACGGGAGGCAGCAGUAGGGAAUCUUGCACAAUGGGCGAAGGCCUGAUGCAGCAACGCCGCGUGGGGGAUGAAUGCCCUCGGGUUGUAAACCCCUUUCAGCAGGGACGAAACUGACGGUACCUGCAGAAGAAGCUCCGGCCAACUACGUGCCAGCAGCCGCGGUAACACGUAGGGGGCGAGCGUUGUCCGGAUUUAUUGGGCGUAAAGAGCUCGUAGGCGGCUCAGUUAGUCGGGUGUGAAACCCCCGGGCUCAACCCGGGGACGCCACCCGAUACUGCUGUGGCUAGAGUCCGGUAGGGGAGCGUGGAAUUCCUGGUGUAGCGGUGAAAUGCGCAGAUAUCAGGAGGAACACCAGCGGCGAAGGCGGCGCUCUGGGCCGGAACUGACGCUGAGGAGCGAAAGCGUGGGGAGCGAACAGGAUUAGAUACCCUGGUAGUCCACGCUGUAAACGUUGGGCACUAGGUGUGGGAUGUUAUCAACGCAUUCUGUGCCGCAGCUAACGCAUUAAGUGCCCCGCCUGGGGAGUACGG
This 639-nucleotide ribosomal RNA is filed under the name uncultured Actinomycetes bacterium. Its description in RNAcentral is "bacterial SSU rRNA". It matches the Rfam family "Bacterial small subunit ribosomal RNA", at positions 232 to 885 of the family's 1533-position model. Lineage: Bacteria; Bacillati; Actinomycetota; Actinomycetes. The record is from RNAcentral.